Molecule: long non-coding RNA, 408 nt
Filed under: Gossypium raimondii (Peruvian cotton)
Lineage: Eukaryota; Viridiplantae; Streptophyta; Magnoliopsida; Malvales; Malvaceae
Description: long non-coding RNA (GRAI_LNC008998)
Source: RNAcentral
ACCAAACCAGAAGAUAAAGUUUUAACUGACAAUUUAGAAAUCAAAAACUAUAGAAAUAUUAAAAUCCCACUUACCGAAACAAACGAAGGAAGAUGAAAAAUCAAGAUGCAAAGAUUUGACAACCGUUGUAAACAGAAUAGAAUGAGGUAGCAAAAGAAAAGAAGAACGAAAAUGCAGAGCUAGGCAAAACAAAACUUACGUCAGAUUUUUGGGAAAAGAGAGAAGAAUUUUGAAAAAAACAAAAUAAAAUAAAAUAACCAAUUUGAUUACAACCCCACUACAUCCACUAACAACCCAAACGACUCAGAAUUUCAAGACCACUCAAACUCUCUCAGCCAAUCGAAACAAAAAUCAACACCCUUACACUUGUAGGGAUUUGAACAUAAGACCUCCAACACAACAACCCCC